ACCCAGACUCCUACGGGAGGCGGCAGUGGGGAAUAUUGCACAAUGGGGGAAACCCUGAUGCAGCGACGCCGCGUGAGCGAAGAAGUAUUUCGGUAUGUAAAGCUCUAUCAGCAGGGAAGAAAAAAAUGACGGUACCUGAGUAAGAAGCACCGGCUAAAUACGUGCCAGCAGCCGCGGUAAUACGUAUGGUGCAAGCGUUAUCCGGAUUUACUGGGUGUAAAGGGAGCGUAGGCGGCCAUUCAAGUCAGAAGUGGAAACCCGGGGCUCCACCCUGGGAGUGCUUUUGAAACUGUGCGGCUAGAGUGUCGGAGGGGUAAGUGGAAUUCCUAGUGUAGCGGUGAAAUGCGUAGAUAUUAGGCGGAACACCAGUGGCGAAGGCGGCUUACUGGACGAUGACUGACGCUGAGGCCCGAAAGCGUGGGGAGCAACCAGGAUUAGAUACCCUCGUAUA
RNAcentral lists this ribosomal RNA (451 nucleotides) under uncultured bacterium. RNAcentral describes it as "bacterial SSU rRNA". It matches the Rfam family "Bacterial small subunit ribosomal RNA", at positions 329 to 794 of the family's 1533-position model. The record is from RNAcentral.